AUGCAGAUCUUCGUCAAGACCCUCACGGGGAAGACCAUCACCCUCGAGGUUGAGAGCAGCGAUACCAUCGACAAUGUCAAGGCCAAGAUCCAGGACAAGGAGGGUGAGUGUCUUCUUCUCAGACGUUCUUCUUUCCCUUUUCUUUCAUUUCUGCCGGCCGCCGUGGCUAAUCUCGGUUUUGUUCCGGCAGGGAUCCCGCCGGACCAGCAGCGGCUGAUCUUCGCCGGAAAGCAGUUGGAGGACGGCCGCACCCUUGCCGACUACAACAUCCAGAAGGAGUCCACCCUCCAUCUCGUCCUCAGGCUCCGUGGAGGCAUCAUCGAGCCGUCCCUGCAGGCUCUUGCCCGCAAGUACAACCAGGAGAAGAUGAUCUGCCGCAAAUGCUACGCGCGCCUGCAUCCAAGGGCUGUCAACUGCCGCAAGAAGAAGUGUGGCCACAGCAACCAGCUGAGGCCCAAGAAGAAGAUCAAGAACUAG
Molecule: ribosomal RNA, 477 nt
Filed under: Triticum aestivum (bread wheat)
Lineage: Eukaryota; Viridiplantae; Streptophyta; Magnoliopsida; Poales; Poaceae
Description: partial small subunit ribosomal RNA
Source: RNAcentral